CCAGGAUCAGGCUCCCCCUGCAAGGGGACGAUGCAAAGAAGGACAGCACCCGGCGUCACGUAACCCAGCCUUCUCAGGCUCCACCACCGCCUUUUCCUUC
This 100-nucleotide small RNA is filed under the name Pan troglodytes (chimpanzee). RNAcentral's name for it is "processed transcript". RNAcentral also lists the same sequence under 1 other name. The record is from RNAcentral. Lineage: Eukaryota; Metazoa; Chordata; Mammalia; Primates; Hominidae.